Molecule: ribosomal RNA, 503 nt
Filed under: uncultured bacterium
Lineage: Bacteria
Description: partial 16S ribosomal RNA
Rfam family: Bacterial small subunit ribosomal RNA
Source: RNAcentral
AUUGAACGCUGGCGGCAUGCCUUACACAUGCAAGUCGAACGGUAGCACAGAGAGCUUGCUCUCGGGUGACGAGUGGCGGACGGGUGAGUAACGUCUGGGAAACUGCCCGAUGGAGGGGGAUAACUACUGGAAACGGUAGCUAAUACCGCAUAACGCGCCAGACCAGAGUGGGGGACCUUCGGGCCUCCACACAUCCGAUGUGCCCAGGUGGGAUUAGCUAGUAGGUGGGGUAAUGGCUCACCUAGGCGACGAUCCCUAGCUGGUCUGAGAGGAUGACUAGCCACACUGGAACUGAGACACGGUCCAGACUCCUACGGGAGGCAGCAGUGGGGAAGAUUGCACAAUGGGCGCAAGCCUGAUGCAGCCAUGCCGCGUGUAUGAAGAAGGCCUUCGGGUUGUAAAGUACUUUCAGCGGGGAGGAAGGCGGUGAAGUUAAUAGCUUCACCGAUUGACGUUACCCGCAGAAGAAGCACCGGCUAACUCCGUGCCAGCCGCCGCCGUAA